This 589-nucleotide ribosomal RNA is filed under the name uncultured bacterium. RNAcentral describes it as "bacterial SSU rRNA". It matches the Rfam family "Bacterial small subunit ribosomal RNA", at positions 396 to 974 of the family's 1533-position model. The record is from RNAcentral.
GCCGCGUGUGUGAAGAAGGCCUUUUGCGUUGUAAAGCACUUAAGCGACGAGGAUGCUACCUGUAUUAAUACUCUGGGAUAUUGGACGUUACCCGACACACAUUAAGCACCGGCUAACUCUGUGCCAGCAGCCGCGGUAAUACAGAGGGUGCAAGCGUUAAUCGGAUUUACUGGGCGUAAAGCGUGCGUAGGCGGCUGAUUAAGUCGGAUGUGAAAUCCCUGAGCUUAACUUAGGAAUUGCAUUCGAUACUGGUCAGCUAGAGUAUGGGAGAGGAUGGUAGAAUUCCAGGUGUAGCGGUGAAAUGCGUAGAGAUCUGGAGGAAUACCGAUGGCGAAGGCAGCCAUCUGGCCUAAUACUGACGCUGAGGUACGAAAGCAUGGGGAGCAAACAGGAUUAGAUACCCUGGUAGUCCAUGCCGUAAACGAUGUCUACUAGCCGUUGGGGCCUUUGAGGCUUUAGUGGCGCAGCUAACGCGAUAAGUAGACCGCCUGGGGAGUACGGUCGCAAGACUAAAACUCAAAUGAAUUGACGGGGGCCCGCACAAGCGGUGGAGCAUGUGGUUUAAUUCGAUGCAACGCGAAGAACUUAC